UCACGUUGAAAGUACCGUUUCCCGUACGAUCACCGAAGUUAAGCAACGUCGAGCCUCGUCAGUACUUAGAUGGGCGACUGUUUGGGAAUAGCAGAUG
Acanthosepion pharaonis is the source of this 97-nucleotide non-coding RNA. NCBI's taxonomy places the organism in Eukaryota, Metazoa, Mollusca, Cephalopoda, Sepiida, Sepiidae. The record is from the annotation of a GenBank genome assembly.